Molecule: ribosomal RNA, 253 nt
Filed under: uncultured bacterium
Lineage: Bacteria
Description: partial 16S ribosomal RNA
Rfam family: Bacterial small subunit ribosomal RNA
Source: RNAcentral
UACGGGGGGGGCAAGCGUUGUUCGGAAUUACUGGGCGUAAAGGGCUCGUAGGCGGCCAACUAAGUCGGACGUGAAAUCCCCAGGCUCAACCUGGGAACUGCGUCCGAUACUGGAUGGCUUGAAUUCGGGAGAGGGAUGCAGAAUUCCAGGUGUAGCGGUGAAAUGCGUAGAUAUUUGGAGGAAUACCGGUGGCGAAGGCGGCAUCCUGGACCGACAUUGACGCUGAGGAGCGAAAGCUAGGGGAGCAAACGGG